RNAcentral lists this ribosomal RNA (468 nucleotides) under uncultured bacterium. RNAcentral's name for it is "partial 16S ribosomal RNA". It matches the Rfam family "Bacterial small subunit ribosomal RNA", at positions 28 to 507 of the family's 1533-position model. The record is from RNAcentral.
GACGAACGCUGGCGGCGUGCUUAACACAUGCAAGUCGAACGGAAAGGCCCUGCUUUUGUGGGGUGCUCGAGUGGCGAACGGGUGAGUAACACGUGAGUAACCUGCCCUUGACUUUGGGAUAACUUCAGGAAACUGGGGCUAAUACCGGAUAGGAGCUCCUGCUGCAUGGUGGGGGUUGGAAAGUUUCGGCGGUUGGGGAUGGACUCGCGGCUUAUCAGCUUGUUGGUGGGGUAGUGGCUUACCAAGGCUUUGACGGGUAGCCGGCCUGAGAGGGUGACCGGCCACAUUGGGACUGAGAUCCGGCCCAGACUCCUACGGGAGGAAGCAGUGGGGAAUAUGGCACAAUGGGCGGAAGCCUGAUGCAGCAACGCCGCGGGCGGGAUAACGGCCUUGGGGUUGUAAACGGCUUUCGCCUGUGACGAAGCGGGAGUGACGGUAAUGGGUAAAGAAGGACCGGCUAACUACGUG